CCGCAUUUGAAAGGUAGUCUUUAGAGAUUUCCAGAAUUUUUUGAACAAGUGGAGGUGGCUCACCUCCAGCAUAGUUAUUAUUCCCAGCACUAGUAUCCAUAGAAGCUAUAUCAAAAGGGAUCAAUACAAGAAUGUAGAGCCACAAUAGUAUCACACACUUUGCCUCCAUCUCUCCAGUACUUUCUUGUCGUAAUGAUGUUCCAGCUUGUGUAUUAUGGCAUUUCUCCAGGAGAGAUACUGCAAGCUCCAGGUCAGAAACCUGAUGAGGGAAGAACUUGACAACAGCCUUGUAGCCACAGACUGUCACCAGAGAAUAUAUUAUGAUACACACAGGCUUAAUUACUUCAAGAAUCUCUUCCGAGGCAGCAGCUUGUUCGACAGCUUUUGAACGGACAAUGGACAUUAGGGGCGAAACCAUACUCUCGAGGUAAGGCUCCAGUAAUUGACCUUGCUCCUGAUAUUUGUCCAUCUGCAAAUCAUAUUUUAAACAAAUAAUUAAUGUACUACCAAAGAAAAAAUAUUUUUUAUAAAAUUUGCAUUAGCUCUAAGCAACUGGUGUUUUAGGAAUUCUGAAAGCAAAGUACUCAAUCAUUAAGUACUUUUAAGAGUUUGGACUUGGCAUCAUCAAGAGUGUAGUGUCCUACAUCAACAUGAGUAAAAGAUGAGCAGAAAUUUGAAACAAUACAUUCUUCAAAUUUCUUCUCAACAAAUACAUCUCUUCACAGUCCCCUCUCAAAAAACUAAAUCUCUCCACAGUUCCUCUACAAGCUCACUUUUAGACUUAGACAUCAAGACCAGCAAAAUUCAGAUCUUUUCUCGCCGAUGAAUCAUCAUAUUAGUUAAUCAUACAAACAGCUAAGAAGUCCCACAUCGGUAGAGGGAUGGGAAUUUGGUCUCGUUAUAUGGACUUGGACAAACCUCCCCUCUUGAGCUAGCUUUUGAGGUUGAGUUAAGUCCAGGUGUCAUAUCUUUACAUGGUAUUAGAGUCAGGUGCAUCCCAAUUUGUUGUUCACCGAUGUUAGGCCCCCAUUUAGAAAUGUUCACGCUCCAGUUGAGGUCUGGCCGUGCGGGGGAGUGUUAAGAAGUCCCACAUUGGUAGAGGGAUGGGAAUUUGGUCUCCGUUUAUGGACUUGGACAAACCUCCUCUCUUGAGCUUGCUUUUGAGGUUUAGUUAGGCUCAGGUGUCAUAUCUUUACACAAACAAAUUGUCCUUAACACACAAAAUAAAAAAUGCUUCCUGCAAUUCAAUAUAGAAGGUGGUGUUCGAUUGAACUUGGAAUUUAAGAAAUAGAGUAAGACUUUUCACUCAUAAGCAAAAUAUAUAGUCCUACAAAAAGUAUCCUCGGAACUAGUGGUCUUCAACAUGCCAUAUUAAUUUGCAUAAGAGCAUGUCAUUAAGGGCAAGGUAGAAAUGCUAAUACAACAAACUUCCAAAUAUAAAUAGGAGUCGAUCUUUUAAGAGAGAUCAAGGAUGUAUGACUGUCAUAUAAAAUAGAAAAGAGAGCAUAAUUAUCAAGCUUGAAGUUCAGUAACAUUCUUCAGUCACAAAUGUAGUUUUACAGUUCCUUUAGAAGCUUAGUUUCUAAUCAAAUCACACAAAGUUUAAAUCUUUGGUCUAAAUAUAUUGCCCAACACCCUUCGGGGUGGCCCAGUGGUUUGAGCUUGGGACUUCCAUGUUGGAGGUCGCACCUGGCUUGCCUAGUGCAGGUUAACUCUCUUGUGUGGUUUGCGAGCUAUUGUAUAGGAGCGGGGGUUUUACCCUGUGCGCACCCAAAGGGUAGCGGCUGCGGGUUUCCCUUGUCAUAAAAAAAAAAUAUAUAUUGCCCAACAAUAACAACAUCCAGAAUUAUUCCCCAAUCUCAAACUAGUUGCAGUUGGCAAUAUAAGUCCCCUAUAUCUAAUAUGCUCCAUCUAUGUUUCUUUCAUUCAACUAUUCAAUUGUUUGUCGUAUAGGACAAAUUAGGAAUAAAUUAAGACGAAAAGUAUUUUUUAAAAUCUGAUGCCUUUUCUUAGACUGUAAUACAGUCUUUAACCAAACUUAAAAAACUCCAUCAAGCACCAAACCAAUGUAAAUGUGCUAAUAACAAAAUAUCCCGAUCCCAACUAGUCGGGAUUGCCUAUCCAUACAUUCCUCCUGAAUCAUAUCUUACCCUUUACUAAGUACGCAAUGAUCCCAAGAAAUUGAGGUACUUUAAGACAACUUACUUCCAUCAUGUGAUCUGUCAUGUACACAUGUUCCCUUUUAACACCUUUAAUCAUCACGGUGUCACACCAAUGGGUCAAUGUCCUUGGAAGUCUACGUAAGACACAAUUAAAGCAUCUCACAUAACCUCUCACUUUUUGCUCUAUAUGUGCUAUUGUACAUCAUGUUAAUCUUUUCUAAUCUUGUACGAUCACACGUCAUCUUAACAUUCAUAUUUUUGCAUUACUCGUCUUGGAUACAUUAGGCACUUAGGCCUUGGAGGCCAAAUCUCACUUCACAUAGUAUCAUUAGGCUCCCAACCAUUCUAUAUAACUAGUAUUUCCUUUAGAUAUGUAUCCUCUUAUCACAUAAAUCCAUCCUACUCUAGCUCUCUGUGUUUUUCAUCUUUCAUGCCAUUCUGAGGAUGAGCCAAAAUAUCUGAACUAUUUGCAUUUCUAUUAUCAAACAACCAAAAAAAAAUUAAAAAACCAAAGUUAAAUUUUACAGGUAUUUCAAGUACAAGCAUAGC
This 2711-nucleotide long non-coding RNA is filed under the name Solanum tuberosum (potato). RNAcentral's name for it is "long non-coding RNA (STUB_LNC002173)". Lineage: Eukaryota; Viridiplantae; Streptophyta; Magnoliopsida; Solanales; Solanaceae. The record is from RNAcentral.